This 255-nucleotide ribosomal RNA is filed under the name uncultured bacterium. RNAcentral describes it as "partial 16S ribosomal RNA". It matches the Rfam family "Bacterial small subunit ribosomal RNA", at positions 524 to 777 of the family's 1533-position model. The record is from RNAcentral.
UACAGAGGUCUCGAGCGUUAGGCGGAAUCACUGGGCUUAAAGCGUGUGUAGGUGGAUGCCUAAGUACCUUGUGAAAUCCCACAGCUUAACUGUGGAACUGCUUGGUAUACUGGGUGUCUUGAGUCACUCAGGGGCGAGCGGAACAAAUGGUGGAGCGGUGAAAUGCGUUGAUAUCCUAAGGAACACCCGUGGCGAAAGCGGCUCACUGGGUCUCUUCUGACGCGUGAGGCACGAAAGCUAGGGUAGCGAACGGGG